GCCUCCAUCUCCAAUCUCAUAACGCCGCCGCUCUGUGCGUAUACCACACCACUAGACGCCGCACCGUUGGACGCUGCACUGCUGGGCGCCGCACCGCUGGACGCCACCUUCUACGCCGCACUCGACUCGCUGGACGUCGCCUUCUACGUUGCACCUGACCCACUUUCCUUCUACCGCCUCUGUCACAGCCACCAUUGGGGUUUCUUUGAAAACCGAACUCGAGGGAGAAACUAAGGCGAGCCUCAACCUUUUCUAGGGUUCAUUUCCACUCAGCUCCACCAUGCAUAGAAUCGUCGGUUCACGACUCAGGUUGCUCAAGUUAUCGGAUGUGCACGUGUGGAGAUAUCAACAAAUUCACAUUUGCCUAUCUCUUCACCUCUCUAAUAUUGUGCAUAAGCAAAGCUGUUUGUCAACUUGAACAUUUACGUGGUGAGUAUGAUUUAGAAUAUAAUAGAGUAGCUUUUGGUUUUGAACUCUAGCUCUAACAUCUUACACACAAUAUUAUUCAAGUGUAGUUCAAAAAAGCGUACUUUACGACCUUACACAUUUAUCCUAGUUUAGUAGAUGCUCUUGAUAAUUUGUCUAAAAUUCUAUAGAAAGUUGUCCUCUCUUCCACAUCCACGAAGUUUAGAUGACAUUACCAAACUUUUCAACGUGAAUGUUAAGCCACAAAGGUUGUUGUUUCUUUCCUUUAAAAUUUUGUUUACAUGAUUGUUUUA
Molecule: long non-coding RNA, 719 nt
Organism: Cucumis melo (muskmelon)
Lineage: Eukaryota; Viridiplantae; Streptophyta; Magnoliopsida; Cucurbitales; Cucurbitaceae
Exons: 2
Source: RefSeq, a predicted model, not a curated record